GGCUUAAAACCUUGCACUUACAAAGCUCCUCUACCAAACCAGUUGCCAUUUGUUGUGCUUCUCCUCACUUCCCGUCUUCUUCCUCCUCCUCCUUCUCCUCUUCUCAAGAUCUCUUCUUUUUCCUCUCAAUUCACUCCACUUCUCUCCCCUUCACACAUUUUCUUGACCGUUCCUUCCCGCCAAAACUCAACAAAAAGAACUAAUGCUAGAAACAGUAAUGGCACUUACAUGAGCAUUGCUUACUUGAAGUAUCGAGUAGUUGUGAAGGCACUCAAUUCUUCUUCUGUAAAUAGCAGGGAGCCCAUAUUUCCUCUUUACAAUGUCUUAAUCACUGGUUCAACAAAAGUUUCUUUAUUUUCUUUCUUCUCUGGUUAAUGGUUUUUUUUUUUUCGAAUUAAGGUCCCAAUUAACCAAGUUAAUGAUUCUCUACUUCUUUCACAAUCAAGUUCAUUCUAAGUAAAUCCGACUUGCAAUGGUUUUAGUGGGGAUAUUUGAUGUUAAGUUUAUAUGAUUAAUAGCCUGUUGUGCUAAGUAACCCUCUUGACCCAAAGGCUUGAAAUCGUGGGACUUGACAUUUUGAGUUGAUAUAUUGAAAGAAUAUGAAGCUUGCAAUUGAUGUAUCAAGUUGCUUGUAUUUACUGUUGUUGACUGCAAUCUUUGACAGCUGAACGGGUGGAGCCUGCUGUUCAGAGCCUGAGUGGUUUUACUUAAAAUCAUUGAUGGAAGGCCAGUGGUGACCGAAAAUGAAGUCACCGUCUUAAAAGAUCUGUUACAAGCAAACAUGACGGUUGACGAUGUAGCUUGAAGGAAUAUUGUUGAUCCAGCAGUUCACAAGGAGUGUUCAGAUGAAUCUCUGAAGAUGGUGAUGGAGAUAUGUAUUCGAUGUCUUUCCAGUGAAUCAUCUGAUAGACCAUCAGUUGAGGAUGUGCUCUGGAACUUGCAAUUUGCACCCGAAGUUCAGGAACCGUCAUGCAAAGGAGAUUUUCAGAACAAGCAAGAACCGAAUGUCUCAUGUUCAUAACUGUACUACAUCUAUGUAUUUCCAAGAAUUUGAUGACCAACGUAGUCUUCAUGUACAAGUCUGAUUUCCCAUGUAUGGCAUACAGUCAUCUGCACUUUCGAAGUCCAAUCUUGUGCCACGUUUGUACUGCCACAGACCAGAAUAUAGUUCAUGCUGAUUGUAGA
This is a long non-coding RNA of Populus trichocarpa (black cottonwood), 1185 nucleotides long. RefSeq lists it as uncharacterized. The transcript has 2 exons. The record is from RefSeq and is a predicted model, not a curated record. NCBI's taxonomy places the organism in Eukaryota, Viridiplantae, Streptophyta, Magnoliopsida, Malpighiales, Salicaceae.